UGAGUAGGCUGGGCAGUCGCGGGGAGCCUUAUGGGCUCCCUGAGGAAAGUCCGGGCUCCAAAGGGCAGGGUGCCGGAUAACGUCCGGCGGAGGCGACUUCAGGGAAAGUGCAACAGAAACAUACCGCCGGGAGCAUCCCGGCAAGGGUGAAAUGGUGAGGUAAGAGCUCACCGGCGGGCCGGAAACGGUCCGGCCGUGCAAACCCCACCCGGAGCAAGGCCAAGGAGGGCGCUGCAGGGCUUUCGGGCCCGGGCGGAAAGGGGGCGGCCCGUCCCUUCCCGAGAGGUAGGCCGCACGAGCCGUCCGGCAACGGACGGCCAAGAUAGAUGAUUGCCGAACACAGAACCCGGCUUACAGGCCUGCUCACCGG
RNAcentral lists this RNase P RNA (370 nucleotides) under Bacillota bacterium. Its description in RNAcentral is "RNase P RNA component class A". It matches the Rfam family "Bacterial RNase P class A". Rfam says of the family: Ribonuclease P (RNase P) is a ubiquitous endoribonuclease, found in archaea, bacteria and eukarya as well as chloroplasts and mitochondria. Its best characterised activity is the generation of mature 5'-ends of tRNAs by cleaving the 5'-leader elements of precursor-tRNAs. The record is from RNAcentral. Lineage: Bacteria; Bacillati; Bacillota.